AAGAAAACAAAGAUGAGGAGAAAAAGAAAGAGGAGAAAAAGGAGAAGCCGUCGUAUUCGCAAAUGAAAAAACUUAUUAAAAAGAUAUUGUACGGCGGAUACCGUGGCGGCCGUGGAGGAAGAGGCAGACGAAGAGGCGGCAGAAGAGGUGGCGGUCGCGGUCGCGGGCGACCCUACGUGAUCCAUAUUUAUUAAAUGGAAAUUUAAGAUGGAUAAAUGAAAAAUAUAAUAAAUAAAUAAAAAUUAAAAAUUA
This is a long non-coding RNA of Osmia lignaria (orchard mason bee), 252 nucleotides long. RefSeq lists it as uncharacterized. The record is from RefSeq and is a predicted model, not a curated record. Lineage: Eukaryota; Metazoa; Arthropoda; Insecta; Hymenoptera; Megachilidae.